This 433-nucleotide ribosomal RNA is filed under the name uncultured bacterium. RNAcentral describes it as "partial 16S ribosomal RNA". It matches the Rfam family "Bacterial small subunit ribosomal RNA", at positions 29 to 507 of the family's 1533-position model. The record is from RNAcentral.
AACGAACGCUGGCGGCAUGCCUAACACAUGCAAGUCGAACGAGACCUUCGGGUCUAGUGGCGCACGGGUGCGUAACGCGUGGGAACCUGCCCUUAGGUUCGGAAUAACUCCCCGAAAGGGGUGCUAAUACCGGAUAAUGUCUUCGGACCAAAGAUUUAUUGCCUUUGGAUGGGCCCGCGUUGGAUUAGCUAGUUGGUAGGGUAAAAGCCUACCAAGGCGACGAUCCAUAGCUGGUCUGAGAGGUUGAACAGCCACACUGGGACUGAGACACGGCCCAGACUCCUACGGGAGGCAGCAGUGGGGAAUAUUGGACAAUGGGCGAAAGCCUGAUCCAGCAAUGCCGCGUGAGUGAUGAAGGCCUUAGGGUUGUAAAGCUCUUUUACCCGGGAUGAUAAUGACAGUACCGGGAGAAUAAGCUCCGGCUAACUCCGUG